CAGAGGAAAACAUAAGCUUGCUGUUGUGGUUUUAGAGUUUAAACUCUGGCAGACAGAGUGGAGCAAUUUCACAGGCGAUAUUGCCAUGCUGUUGUUUAAUAUUUAUCGAAACGCCACCAUUUGUUGUGUGUUGUAUGUUCCUUGUUCUCGUAGGGACUAUAUUAUGAGUAGGAAAUGACCUCUGUUCAGAAAAUGAAGCUUUAGACAAGCCAACAGGAAGGAGGAGUGAAAUUUGUAAGAGUGAAGGAAAACGGUGGUGGAGGAGCUCUAAGGGAGGCGCAGUCCCACCAGCGUUGGCUCCACCUACGUUAGAGUUGCAGAUGACCCAAAGCUGGGAGACAGAAAAGUGCACAGAAGUGAAAUUUGAAAAGAGCUUGGAAGUUCUGUACUAUUUCCAGAAUGCACCGCCUCUUUACUUGGGCCUCGAUUACGAAAUGUAUGCUGUAAAUACUGAACAUCCUAGGAAAUGACAUCAGACUCUUCUGCAAUCCCUUCCGCACACCACUCUCGGGGAUCCCACGAAGAAUCGAGACUUGCCAGCUGGAGGCGCAGUGCUGGCUGGGGCAGGAGCAGACCCAGGCCUGAUAAAGGACAGGAAUCCUGAGGGCGUGGAUACGAAGAGCAGGCCCGAGUUCCAUCAAGCAUUCAGAAACUGCUGAGGAGGAUGGAGACAGGUGGGGAGACUACACCUCAGAAAGUUGGAAUGACUGGGUUUAAGACACAUUGCUCACUGAGAACAGAAACUGGACUAGAAUCCAGAAUUUCGGAUGUACAGAGACAUGGCAUGACUACCUCAGUUCCACGUCUAUAUUCGUGUACACAGUUAUGUCUGAUGUCGCCGACAAUUAGAAUCUCCAGUUUGGGGAGACAAUGACUCCUAAAGAACACAUACAGGGGUAAUAAUCUAACUGCUGAUUCAGGAAAGGUCUCUCAGUUUUCGUGGGAGUGAAAACACCUGUGGAGAAAGGAAUGCCUACUGCUUUCCAGGGGUAGGAGACUGUGGAAUACAUUUGUUUUCAAAACUUCUGUUUGAAAAAUCUCAACCGGAACCACAACAUGAAACAAGAGAAGAUCUCCCUCAGCAUGUUUGUUCCUGUUUGUUUAAAUGAGCAUAUUCUAAGAUGUUUUGGCUACCUCGUCUGCUUGUUUCCAUGCUGAGGGACAUUCUGUCCUCUGGGAGGAGAAAGGAAAGAACAAACCUUGAGCCUGGGAAAAGUGGAAGUAAUCUCUUUCCCUAAAGCUCAUCUUGCAAAGCCAUAAAUAUGACAUGUUGUUAAUGGAGGAUAAUUAAUUCAUUCCUCAUAAAUAUCAUUCUUAUUUCACCAAUGUGGGUAUUUUCUCCAAUGUUCUCAUUUGCCCCAAAGUACAGACACCUGAUAAGAUGUGGAUCCCCUGACGCAACUAAGUCCUUGCCUCAAGAAAGCAAACAUUUUGAGAUUUACUAGGGCAAUUCACAUUGAAGGCAAAUGAUACAUUUAUCUCAACACUUGCUCCCAUCCCUCUGAAACAUUAAGACAAAUAUUUACCCAAGCCAUCAGGAAAUAUGGCUGUGACCAACACAAAAUUGAUUUUUCACAUACAUAUCAGUCUCAGAAAGGUGAGUUCCAAGAGAGUAGAUUCACAGGCACACUGGGGACUUUGGAAAAAUCUGGAAAGGAAAGCUAUUUUUUCUUAUACAGCAUUCUCGGUUUGAGGGAAGGGGGCUUUCAAACAGCAUAGUGUGUAAUUUUAAAUACAAAGUGAAAAAUCUUAAA
RNAcentral lists this long non-coding RNA (1754 nucleotides) under Equus asinus (donkey). Its description in RNAcentral is "lncRNA (ENSEASG00005024136.1)". The record is from RNAcentral. Lineage: Eukaryota; Metazoa; Chordata; Mammalia; Perissodactyla; Equidae.